CUCACACAUGCCAGGCAAGUGCACUAAUGCUGAGCCCCAGCCCCAGCCCUGUAGUUGCCCCUUUCUCACUCCCAUUUCCCCCCAAUUCUCCAUUCCCCACAGAGCAACCAGCAGGAUCCUUUUACAGUAUCAAUCCAGUCAUGCUACUUUCUUGCUUAAAACUCUUCAAUGGCUUCCCUUUGUACUUAGAACAAAAUCCAACCUCAGCCAGCACAAUGGUGGUGGCACUUGCCAAUAAACUCAGUGACUCAAGAGGCUGAGGCAGGAGGAUCACAAGUUCAAGGCCAGCCUGGGCAACUUAGCAGCACCCUCAGCAAGUUGGAAAGACCCUGUCUCAAAAGAAAAAUACUUUUAAAAAGGGCUGGGGAUGUGGCUCAGUGAUGGAGUAGCCAUGAUUUCAGUCCCCACUACUACAGAAACAAAACAAAACCCAACCUAAGCUUGGUUUCUUCAUCCCUAGAGUAAGCACUGAACGGCGGAGGCCCAUUUGGAGCCUGGCCCAUAACAGGUGUCCCAACACUUUCAGGAAAUUCUUUUGAGUUGGGCAGUUUUUAGAACCUGGCCAUGUCUACUCUGCAAUGUCAUUUAAGCCACUUUCUCCCGCUUCCUGCAUCUUCCCACACUGGAUUCUAAUAGCAUUGGAACACUCCAAGAACCCUCUUCUACUUUGGGCUUUUGCUUAUUCUUGCUACUAGAAUGUUCCACACAGUUCCUCACAGGGUUGCCUCCUUGGGCCACAUUUUCAGAGUUUCAAAGUCAGCUCCUUCACUCCACCCUAACUCAAGUGGCAGUCCUUACCAAAUUCCAGAGUGUCCCCCAUCACAGAAACCCUAUUUCCUGUGCAGUUUGUGCCAAAAACUGUCACUUGACACUCACUCCUUGAAUCUGUUUCCUGUCUCUCUCACCAGAUUAUAGGUUCUCCGUAAGUUUAAUUUUCUUUUUUUCACUCCCAUUAAAGGCUGGGCCUAGUAUACAAAUCUCCACAGGUAUUCACUCACUGAAUUUCUUUUUUUUUUUUUUUCAGUACAGGGAACAGGGGAUUGAACCCUGGGGGUGCCCACCUACCACUGUGCUACAACCCUAGCCCCUUUUAUUUUUCCGUUUUGAGACAGGGUUUUGCUACAUUGCCAACUGACUUGGAGCUUGUGAUCUUCCUGUCUUGGCCUCCCAAUUCACUGGAAUUACAGGCAUACGCCACCACACCUGGCUUCAUUCAGUGAUUUUUAACAAAAAGCCUUCCCUAGUCUGCCCUCUAGAAGUCAUUACUAGGUCCCCCUGGAGUCUCACAGUUCUCCAUUCUCACUUUAUUGUGACCCAUCUUGCUUUGUAUUUUGAAUUGAUGUUAUUUGUACAGAGAAGCAGGGUACUGUGUUCAGAUUCCAAACCUGUUACUUCCAAGGUUCAGAACAGUGUCUGGUAUGGAGAAAACAGCAUAAAGAGUUAUUCUUUAGUCAGGCAUGGUGGUGCAUGCUUGUAAUCCCAGCAACUCAGGAGACAAGGCAGGCAGAUCACAAGUUAGAGGCCAGCCCAGGCAAUUUAGCAAGAUGCUAUCUCAAAAUAAAAAAUUAGAAGGGCCAAGGAUGUGGCUCAGUGGUAAAGACUCCUGGAUUCAAUCCCCAGGACUGAAAAAAAAACCUAGUUAUGCUUUAAUAUCUUUUUAUUCUCAAGAAAAGCACACACAGCCAGCAUGGUAGCACAUGCUUUUAAUCACAGCAGUUCAAGAGAUUGAGGCAGGAGGAUUGCAAGUUCAAAGUCAGCCUCAGCAAUUUAGUGAGGUCCUGAGCAAUUUAGCAAGAUCCUGUCUCAAAAUAAAAAUCUAAAAGAGCUGAGAUGUGGCUCAGUGGUUAAGUGCCCCUGGGUUCCAUCCCUGGUACCAAAAAUAAAAAGAAAAAAUAAGUGCAUACAUGUAGAAAAGCUUAGAAAAUACAAAUGUAUAGCUCAGUGAAUUUUUAGAAAUAGUCAAAUAACUAUCCAGGUCAAGAAACAGAACAUGAAUAUUACCCCAAACGCCUUCUUCAUACCAUCCUUCCUAAUGAUUACCUCUUGGGUUCUCACCAAAAGUGUCUGUUCUGACAUAUUAUAAUUUGUUUUGUGCCUAUUUGAAAAACAUAAUGUGCUGGGCAUAGUAGUGCAUGCCUGAUAUCUCAAGGUAGAGAUAGAGGCAAGAGGAUUUUAAGUUCAAGGCCAGCCUGGAC
RNAcentral lists this long non-coding RNA (2195 nucleotides) under Marmota monax (woodchuck). Lineage: Eukaryota; Metazoa; Chordata; Mammalia; Rodentia; Sciuridae. The record is from RNAcentral.